UGUUCAGUUUGUUCAGCGGGGAUCGAUGUUUGCUGGCAUCGCCUUGCCCUGUCUUGUGUGUGUGUGUGUGUGUGUGUGUGUGUGUGUGUGUGUGUGUGUGCCUGUGUGUGUGUGAGAGAGAGAGAGCGCGUGUGAGUGUGUGUGUGUGUGUGUGUGUGGUGCCCGCGCGCGUAUGUGUGUGUGGGGGGGGUGAGUGUGUGUGUGUGUGUGUGUGUGUGUGUGUGUGUGUAAGCGAGAGUGCGUGUGUGUGUGUGUGUGUGUGUGUGUGUGUGUGUGUGUGUGUGUGAGUGAAUUCCAGAUUUUCUGUCUUUCCCAAACCCGCUCCUGUCCCUCUCGCAUAUCACUCACAGACUGGGAUCUGACAGCAGCGACAAACCUACAGUGAGUGAUCUCUCCCCAGCGCGAAUCCGCCAUCAAGAUCAGGGACGAGGAGGAGGAGGAAGAAGAGGAAGAGGAGGAGGAAGAGGAGGAGAAGGAGGAGGAGAAGGAGGAGGUGGAGGAAGAGGAGGAAGAGGAGGAGGAGGAGGAGGGAAAUAGAAGGAAGAAGAAGAAAAAGAAGAAACCCACUGUCUUCCCAGGAUUGUUUUCCCCCCUUAUCUUUACGCGCGAGUGUGCGCGUGGCGCGUGUGCGCCCCUCGUCCCUACCAUCUGAACCCCGUCUUGGAUGUUUAAUAAAGAAAUCAAGUGUCUCACCAGUCACCAAAAAAAAACCAGCAAAAAGCAAAACCAAAAAAAGAGAGAAAAAUCCAAAAGCAAAAACAAAAAGAGAGAGGGGGGAAAAAACCCAAACAAACAAACAAGGCAGAACCAACCUCCACUUGCAAGCAGCAGGCACAAACCGCCUAUCUGCCACCCAGAGAGGGGGUCUCUGGCCCCGCGCUGGAGCGCUGGCAGGGGAUCGUCAGGGGGACAGAGGCCGAGUGGACGUCCUAGGAGCCACAGAAAGACGAGCGAGACUGCGGCCCCCCGCGCGCGGCUCGGGGCUGGGGCGCCAGAAGUGAGACUGGAGCUGAGUAGAGAGAUGCCAAGGAGGAAACAGGCAGGCACCCAAGCGGGCUGCAGCUUCUUACAGGUCACCUCUCCAGACGCUCAAACUUACCUUGUGGGCUGGCAAGCCUGGGAUUUUUCAUCUACUGCCAAGGCUUGGCCUCUCAGCACAAGUCCCCAAAGUCCCAAAGAAAAUCAACACAGCUUCUGCUUAGGAAGAAUAUCCCACCCAGUGAAGUUCAUGUCAUCCCAUGCUUGCAGUGUUUUAUGGAUUUUAUGAAUGAAUACACUGAGGUUCAUAGCAACGGUUUCAGGCCAAACAACAAGGAACAGGGAAAGGCUGAAGAGGACAUGCCACUCUGAACUGCUACUUCCAGGAUAAGGAGGGUCGUGACCUUGGGCUCUGCCUUAGAUUGGCCAUGAACUUGGCCUUCCAAUGGCACCGUGAGCUCUGUUCCCCCGUGAACACAACUCUUUACUAAACACACUUACCAGGCACUGAGCACUCUUUGAGAUGUUGGGAUACCAGCAAGUAAGAUUCAGCACAUGCUCUUGUGGGGCAGAAGUGGAGUCAAAGUGUUAUACGGUGACAGUGGCCCAGGGUAAAGGUAUGCGAAGGGAAUAUUGGCAAUAAGAAAAGGACAAAGAUGAACAAGGGGCAAUAAUAACAGUGUAAGGCUUUGCCUCCUCCUCUGUGUGCAUACCACUCAGCUCAAGGACUGGCUCCUGGAGAUCCGCAAGGAGCCGCUUCCAUUGACAGGUGGAGCCUGUCAUUCACAAAGCAGUCAGGAGCCAGGACGAUGGUCUGCGAAUUUCACUCAAAUAGGGAGAGUGGUCCACUGACGGGUGGGAAUCCCUCACCCUACUCUCAUAGUAUGCACUCUCUCUAGCCACAGAUCUGUGGUUGGAAUCAUUGCACACAUAUGUAUGCAUGCACACACAUUAGCAUACAGACACACUCAUGUACACACAUCCAUAUGCACACAUAUGCCCCUGCACAUACAUGCUCAACUUCUUCCUCGAGUGAGCUUUGAAUCAGGGUUUCUGAGAAGGGCUGGGAUGAUGGCUCAGUGGCAAAUGGUGAGAAUUGCCCUUCGGAAGGACCUGCACUCAGUCUCCAACAUCCACAUCCGACAGCUCACAACUGCCUGGAACUUUAGCUCUCUGGGAGAAUCCAGUGCCUCCGGCCACCACAGGCACCUUCACUUGUGUGCACAUACCCACAUGCCGACUCAUAUCAUAGAUAUAAUUAAAAAUAUAAAAAAUAAAAAUUUUAAAUGUAUUUCUGAGAAGUGGAGCUCAGUUUGCUUGCUUUUGCCUGCUUGCCUAUCUAUUUAUUAGUUAAUUCACUAAUUAAUUUUUAGUCAGGGUAUUGGUGUAUAGUUUAACCUUGUCUAGGACUUACUACAUAGGCUAAGGUGA
This is a long non-coding RNA of Peromyscus californicus insignis, 2409 nucleotides long. RefSeq lists it as uncharacterized. The record is from RefSeq and is a predicted model, not a curated record. The transcript is spliced from 3 exons. NCBI's taxonomy places the organism in Eukaryota, Metazoa, Chordata, Mammalia, Rodentia, Cricetidae.